Molecule: non-coding RNA, 92 nt
Organism: Mycena filopes
Lineage: Eukaryota; Fungi; Basidiomycota; Agaricomycetes; Agaricales; Mycenaceae
Source: the annotation of a GenBank genome assembly
GAACCAAUAGCACAAUGUCAGUGCGCCUGUUUAACGUGCCAGCGUCUCCUCACGGUUAGCAGGAUAUCCCUGUUCGAUUCGGGGUUGGUUCA